AAGUCGUAACAAGGUCUCCGUUGGUGAACCAGCGGAGGGAUCAUUACCGAGUUAUCGCAACUCCCAAACCCCCUGUGAACCUCUACCCAGUUGCCUCGGCGGGAAUGCCCCGGCGGCGGUCCGCGACCGCCCCGGAACCAGGCGCCCGCCGGAGGGACCACCGAAAACUCUUGCCUCCAGCGGGACUCUCUGAGUGUUGCGAACGCAAAUGAAAAUCAAAACUUUCAACAACGGAUCUCUUGGUUCUG
RNAcentral lists this unclassified non-coding RNA (248 nucleotides) under fungal sp. Its description in RNAcentral is "partial internal transcribed spacer region". The stretch from base 1 to 46 matches the Rfam family "Eukaryotic small subunit ribosomal RNA", at positions 1786 to 1831 of the family's 1831-position model. The record is from RNAcentral. Lineage: Eukaryota; Fungi.